RNAcentral lists this non-coding RNA (186 nucleotides) under Kofleriaceae bacterium. Its description in RNAcentral is "6S RNA". It matches the Rfam family "6S / SsrS RNA". From Rfam's summary of the family: E. coli 6S RNA was the first non coding RNA to be sequenced, but its function was unknown until recently. It consists of 184 nucleotides that fold into an extended hairpin structure with a large single-stranded internal bulge. Lineage: Bacteria; Pseudomonadati; Myxococcota; Haliangiales; Kofleriaceae. The record is from RNAcentral.
GCGAGCCCGGCGGUUCGACACGACAAACGGGGCGAAUCUUUCUCCUACACCGUCUAUCCAGGGAUCUGCCUCUGUCUCGGGAGUGCAUGCCCGCACGUCGGGAAGCCCGAUGAGAUAUCGCGGAGCCCACCUACCACGUUGGUAGGGGAUAGAUUACGCCCUACGGUCGAGCCUGUCGGGCUCGUU